AUACGUAGGUGGCAAGCGUUAUCCGGAUUUAUUGGGCGUAAAGCGAGCGCAGGCGGUUUUUUAAGUCUGAUGUGAAAGCCCUCGGCUUAACCGAAGAAGUGCAUCGGAAACUGGGAAACUUGAGUGCAGAAGAGGACAGUGGAACUCCAUGUGUAGCGGUGAAAUGCGUAGAUAUAUGGAAGAACACCAGUGGCGAAGGCGGCUGCCUGGUCUGUAACUGACGCUGAGGCUCGAAAGCGUGGGUAGC
This 247-nucleotide ribosomal RNA is filed under the name uncultured bacterium. RNAcentral's name for it is "partial 16S ribosomal RNA". It matches the Rfam family "Bacterial small subunit ribosomal RNA", at positions 523 to 769 of the family's 1533-position model. The record is from RNAcentral.